GCAGACGGGUGAGUAACACGUGGGAAUCUACCCAGCUCUACGGAAUAACUCAGGGAAACUUGAGCUAAUACCGUAUACGCCCUCCGGGGGAAAGAUUUAUCGGAGUUGGAUGAGCCCGCGCCUGAUUAGCUAGUUGGUGGGGUAAUAGCCUACCAAGGCGACGAUCAGUAGCUGGUCUGAGAGGAUGAUCAGCCACACUGGGACUGAGACACGGCCCAGACUCCUACGGGAGGCAGCAGUGGGGAAUAUUGGACAAUGGGCGCAAGCCUGAUCCAGCCAUGCCGCGUGAGUGAUGAAGGCCCUAGGGUUGUAAAGCUCUUUCACCGGGGAAGAUAAUGACGGUACCCGGAGAAGAAGCCCCGGCUAACUUCGUGCCAGCAGCCGCGGUAAUACGAAGGGGGCUAGCGUUGUUCGGAAUUACUGGGCGUAAAGCGCACGUAGGCGGAUUGUUAAGUGAGGGGUGAAAUCCCAGGGCUCAACCCUGGAACUGCCUCUCAUACUGGCAAUCUCGAGUUCGAGAGAGGUGAGUGG
This 531-nucleotide ribosomal RNA is filed under the name Nitratireductor shengliensis. RNAcentral describes it as "bacterial SSU rRNA". It matches the Rfam family "Bacterial small subunit ribosomal RNA", at positions 98 to 664 of the family's 1533-position model. Lineage: Bacteria; Pseudomonadati; Pseudomonadota; Alphaproteobacteria; Hyphomicrobiales; Phyllobacteriaceae. The record is from RNAcentral.